GGGGACGUUACGGAUUCGACAGGGAUAGUUCGAGCUUGAGUUGCGAGCCGUGGGGAUCGUCCACGAUAAAACGUCAACGCCAAUAAUAACUGGCAAAUCUAACAACAACUUCGCUUUAGCAGCGUAAGCUAGCUUAGCGGUUCCUCCCUCCAUCGCCCAUGUGGUAGGGUAAGGGACUCACUUUCAGUGGGCUACGCCGGAUUCCACCGUCUGAGGAUGAAGGAAGAGAUCAAUCAGACUAGCUGCACGGACGCCCGUCGAUAGGCAGAUGUUGCAGCGAACUCGCGAAUGUAUCGACUACGCUCGUAGACGCUUAAGUGGCGAUAUGUCUGGACGUGGGUUCGAUUCCCACCGUCUCCACCA
RNAcentral lists this transfer-messenger RNA (363 nucleotides) under Caryophanales. RNAcentral's name for it is "Bacillus_BM vietnamensis_A Standard tmRNA". It matches the Rfam family "transfer-messenger RNA". From Rfam's summary of the family: Bacterial tmRNA, also known as 10Sa RNA or SsrA, is named for its dual tRNA and mRNA-like properties. RNAcentral also lists the same sequence under 2 other names. The record is from RNAcentral. Lineage: Bacteria; Bacillati; Bacillota; Bacilli.